Molecule: ribosomal RNA, 301 nt
Filed under: uncultured bacterium
Lineage: Bacteria
Description: partial 16S ribosomal RNA
Rfam family: Bacterial small subunit ribosomal RNA
Source: RNAcentral
CAGUAGCCGCGGGAAUACGUAGGGGGCAAGCGUUAUCCGGAUUUACUGGGUGUAAAGGGAGCGCAGACGGCAGUGCAAGUCUGAAGUGAAAGGCGUGGGCUCAACCCAUGAACUGCUUUGGAAACUGUAUAGCUUGAGUGUCGGAGGGGUAAGCGGAAUUCCUAGUGUAGCGGUGAAAUGCGUAGAUAUUAGGAGGAACACCGGAGGCGAAGGCGGCUUACUGGACGACAACUGACGUUGAGGCUCGAAGGCGUGGGGAGCAAACAGGAUUAGAGACCCCCGUAGUCCCUGUCUCUUAUAC